CAAGGAGCACCAGCGUAAGCAAAGCAAAGCGCUCUGCUCGGGGAAAAGCGCCGAGUGUGCUCACCAGCAAAGAGGAAAAACAAAGAAAUCCGCUUAUGUAACCUACAAACUGCUGGAGACAGGAGGAGGAGGGACUACUAUGUUGUACGGCAGAGGGAUAUUGCCAAAACCAGCACAAAACACAACUUUCCUCCAGUUAUUUCAACACUUUGGUGCCUUUUUCAUCUUGAGAUGAGCAGAUGCAAGCUCCACACAUAUGGAUUUGAAACCUAAAUGGAACACAUUUUUAGCACCUUGGCCAAGAUUUACAAGUUUUCUUUCUGUUUCGAGCAUUUAUUUUUCAACUGCUGAGCUAGGAAGUUGCAUUUCCUCAUCCCUGAUACUCCUAGCAAGUAAUCCCAGGCUGCUUAAAGACACACACAAAUUUUAUUCACCCAGGUCAUCAAUGCACCAUUAAAAUAAAAAGUAGCAUUAGCUGCGUUUUGAGUUUCAUAAUCAGACCAAGAGAACUCCAAUGCAUAAGUUAUAUUUGUAUUUUGAGAGUUCGCCUCCAGGAGCUCAAAGCUUGCCCCUGUUGCUUGGGCUUGCACAUGAAGUGCCCUUGUAACAGAACACCUUAUUGCUCCAGGAAAGCCUUUGUUGAGAAGAUAAUUUUUCUGCUCAGUUUCUCACGUUUGGAACAAACCACUUUCCUCAGGAGGCUGGUUUGUCCAUCUGCUAGUGAGUGAGGGCUUUGCCAGCCUUUCUUCAGCCAGGUCUGCUCUCCCCAACCCAGGAACACCACUGAUAAUGACUGUCAUACAAGUACAUGCCAGAUUUUAAAUUCAGAUUGGAUCAGCAACAGAGCUUUCAAUAUUGACACAAACAAUACAGCAGGUUAGAAAACUGUAAGAGAAGUGGCUCCAAAAGAAUUUAAGAAGCAAUUGUUUUAGAUAAGCAUCUACCUAAAUUGUUACUCACCAUUGCAAGCAAAGAGAAUGGGUCACACAAGGAAAAGUAAGGGCAGAAAGGAGAGUCACUGCACUCAGAAAGAAGAAUUUUACACACAUGAAGGAAACUGGGGAUCCUAUUUCACUUCCAGAAGUAGCAACAUUUGAACAGGUAUAAAGAAGCCACCACUCCACAUUUCUAAAAUACAUAUUUAACUCCUCCUUUUUUAAAAAAAAAAGUAAUAUAUUAUUUGUUCCAUAUCUAUUUGAUUAGCUAGCAGAUAAGGGGAUUUGGAAGAGAUUAAACUGCUAGAAGGGGAAUAUCUCAUUAACCUAUUACCCUGGUUUCACAAGUGUUCUACGCCCAACUUUGCUUUCUCUAAAAGCAGAAACAUGCAAAUGGCACAAUGCAAGUAUUAGCUGAAAACUCAUCAACAGGAGGUGGAGCUAUGCCUUCCCUGUCACCAAAACAUGCCUAUGAACUUUAAAGAACAGUUAAUUAAAAAUUAAGGUUAGUUUUAUUAAUUUUCUCUAAAAGGCAGAUGAAGAGGCAUGGAGAACAAUUACUUAAAUGAAAAAAACAUUCUCAUUAAUGUGUUAUAAAAGUCAUACUACUAAGAUAAGAAGUUGCCAUCAUUUAGUAUAACCAGAAUAAUUACACAGACUAAACACAGUCCUUGCAGAGAAGGCUAGCUCUAUGAAACUAUGUUACCCCAAAUCAAAAUUAUUGGCUCAUAUAUGACUUCCUCACUCCAAUAAUUAAAAUUUUUCAUAAACAUCUCACACUCAUUUUUUGGCACUUACUUUUUUCCCACCUCCAAGUACUUCUCAGACUAAGCAAUACCAGCUUUCUGUCAGUACUUACCCCAUUUUGCAGACAAGGGGACUCAAACUGUGUACAUAACUGAUUUGAAUAUUCUUAGUGUGAUGAAGUUGAGGAGGUCACAUGAGUACUGUUAGGAAACCUGGAAAGCUGAACUAAGUAUUGAAGAGCUACAUGAGCAGUGUGUCACUGUGACAUAGAGCCCUCAAAACCAGAUUGGCUCAUGUGACAGUGAAUCACAGUCCAGCACUCAGUGUGGCUUUCUUUUGCUUCUCUGCUCCUUCCUGCAGACUCACUUCAGGCACAAAGUGCUUGGAAAGGUUUACUGCAGGUUGUGCAUCAGAGCAUGAUGCACAGUUUGUGUUAGCCAGUGAUGGAGAGGGAUUUUUGUCCCAGUCCAAGGAUCAGUAACCCACCUGCACCCUGACACAGAAUUCCAAAGGAGAACUUCUGAAUUUCAGUAUGGAAAUACCUCCCAACUUUCUUUUUCCAUGUGAGAGGUCUACAGACAUCUCAGUGAGUCCCAGAGAGGAAGGCUCCUUUCACAUAAAGGGCUCCCAUAAAGCAGUUGUGGUUGACUCACAAUGAUCUCCCCUUUCUCUUCGCCAUUACACCCCUGUACUUCAAAAUCACAGCAUUUGGGGCAUGAGCAGAUAUAAAAGCAUGCCAUGUCCUCAUACCCAAGGAGUUCCUGAGGUGCUGUUAAAUGUCCCUCUCACAAGUAGUCUGCAGAGGGGUUCAGCUUGGCUCCCAGCUAUUUUUAGGGAAAUGGGAUCAGCCACAGGACACCACAGAGCCGUGUCCCAAAGCGACCCUCACUUCUGUCAGACCUUCCACAUGCUGUCCUUUUCGUGACUCGUGGGAGAAGCUAAAAUCAGUAACAAGUGAUCUGGUGCAGAAGCCUGGAUGGCUUAAACAAAAUAUAUUAAAAAAACCCCAAAGCACACAGUUUAUCUAAAACUGCUGUCCUGUCAAAGAGCACCCUUCAAGCUUUGCCCCAGUGGAAGGAAGAAACAGCUGUAUCAUACCUCAAGAUUUGCAGGCAUAUAAUGAACAAAAGGAUGGGGGAAAUUUUACAUUAAGGAAGUGACCUACAGAAAUCAGUGAUCACCAGUAAAAGGAGCAGGGCAAGUCCACGCAGAAGUGGGCUGGGCAAGGAGGAUGUUUAGGAAUGGGUACUCAGGACUGCUGCAACAAGGAAAAGCAACGGUAUCUUUACAAAGGUGGGCAGCUAACCCUCAACAAGGUGAGAAACACUAAGAGACACUGGAUCUGCAGCCCAACAAAAACACAUUUGUUGAAAGGACAUUUUCCCCUCCAAAUUCUGAAAAUCAGGAACAUCUAUCACUCUCCUCUCCUGGUUCUACAUGCAAGGAGAUUGUGACUUCAUCCCAUUGCAAGAAAAGAAAUCUCAAGGUAGAUGUGAUGAACAAUUACCAUGCUAUAAUUAGGAAGUAAAUAGCAGUGUUUUUCCAUCCUUUUUUUCUGUUCUUCCAGUUCAGCUGUAUUAUGUGUCCCAAAGGGAAAGCUUGUGGUUGUGCUCAAAGAACACACAAUAAAAGUUCUUAGAGGAAAAGAACUUUUUGUCUUAUGUUUGCACAGUAUUUGUCACUAUAACAUCUUGUUGUCUGCAAUUUAGUUCAAGAGUAAGAGUAAGACAAGCAACUACAAAACUCUCCAAACAAAUAAUGAAAUGGUUGCAAUUCAAUGAAAUCAGAGAACUAUAUCAAAGACCAUUGAGUGAUAUCUAUUCUAUUAGAGUUUGCAAAAGGACUAUGUCUUCUAUGGCAACACUAUGUUUUACACUAACCAUAUAAAGCUGGGUUUCUGUAGCUUAAAGUACCUUCCAUACUUAAAAAAAAGUACAUUAAAAACUCAGGAAUCUGUGGUUCAUUUGUCAAUUUUCUAUAGGAAAGAAAGAUCAGCAAUUGUUAAAGGAUUUCUGGGUUUAGACAUGAAAAGUGGUCAAAGACUAUGUCUCCAUCAAUGGGGUUUGAUUUGCCAAUUCUUCUGUUAAAAAAAAUGUUUAACAGUUUUUAUUUCUAAAACCUCCUUUCUAUGUAUACAAAUGAUAAAUAUAUAUCCUGCAAAAUCAUGUUACUAUUUAGGGAAGCAGGCUCAUUUUCCAGUUAAUGUAGCUUUUGGUCACAUACAAACACACAAAGCACACGUGCAUCCCACAAAAAAAAAAAAAAAAAAAAAAAAAAAAAAAAAAAAAAAAAAGAC
Molecule: long non-coding RNA, 3978 nt
Organism: Prinia subflava (tawny-flanked prinia)
Lineage: Eukaryota; Metazoa; Chordata; Aves; Passeriformes; Cisticolidae
Exons: 2
Source: RefSeq, a predicted model, not a curated record